AACGAACGCUGGCGGCGCGCCUAACACAUGCAAGUCGAACGAGAAUCCGGGGCAACCCGGUAGUAAAGUGGCAAACGGGUGAGGAAUACAUGGGUAACCUACCCUUGAGAAGGGAAUAACCCGCCGAAAGGUGAGCUAAUACCCUAUACGCUAUCAUUUUUACGAAAAGAUAGGAAAGCCAGGUCGAGGACUUGGUACUCAAGGAGGGGCUCAUGUCCUAUCAGCUUGUUGGUGGGGUAACGGCCUACCAAGGCUACGACGGGUAGCUGGUCUGAGAGGAUGAUCAGCCACACUGGCACUGAGAUACGGGCCAGACUCCUACGGGAGGCAG
Molecule: ribosomal RNA, 331 nt
Filed under: uncultured Nitrospirota bacterium
Lineage: Bacteria; Pseudomonadati; Nitrospirota
Description: bacterial SSU rRNA
Rfam family: Bacterial small subunit ribosomal RNA
Source: RNAcentral